Molecule: small nuclear RNA, 108 nt
Filed under: Bos grunniens (domestic yak)
Lineage: Eukaryota; Metazoa; Chordata; Mammalia; Artiodactyla; Bovidae
Source: RNAcentral
GUGCUCGUUUCGGCAGCACAUAUACUAAUAUUGGAACGAUACAGAGAAGAUUUAGCAUGGUCCCUGAGCAAGGAUGACAUGCAAGUUCAUGAAGUGUUCCAUAUUUUU